Molecule: ribosomal RNA, 192 nt
Filed under: uncultured bacterium
Lineage: Bacteria
Description: partial 16S ribosomal RNA
Rfam family: Bacterial small subunit ribosomal RNA
Source: RNAcentral
AACUCGGCUGCAUGAAGCUGGAAUCGCUAGUAAUCGCGGAUCAGAACGCCGCGGUGAAUGCGUUCCCGGGUCUUGUACACACCGCCCGUCACACCAUGAGAGCCGGAAACGCCCGAAGCCAGCGGCCUAACCGCAAGGAGGGAGCUGUCGAAGGCGGGGCCGGUGACCGGGGUGAAGUCGUAACAAGGUACC